This is a non-coding RNA of Vicugna pacos (alpaca), 169 nucleotides long. The record is from RefSeq and is a predicted model, not a curated record. NCBI's taxonomy places the organism in Eukaryota, Metazoa, Chordata, Mammalia, Artiodactyla, Camelidae.
GUUGAGUAGUAUUCCAUUGUAUAAAUAUACCACAACUUCUUUAUCCAGUCAUCUAUCGAUGGACAUUAGAUUGCUUCCAUGUCUCAGCUAUUGUAAAUAGUGCUGCUAUGAACAUUGGGGUGUAUAUGUCUCUUUGAAUUCAAGUUCUCUCUAGCUACAUACCCAGAAG